GCGAACGGGUGAGUUAAAGCAUCGGAACGUAUCCUAUAGUGGGGGAUAACCUAGACGAAAGCUAGCUAAUACCGCAUACGCCCUGAGGGGGAAAGUGGGGGACUCGCAAGAGCCUUACGCUAUUUGAGCGGCCGAUGUCGGAUUAGCUAGUUGGUGAGGUAAAGGCUUACCAAGGCGACGAUCCGUAGCUGGUUUGAGAGAACGACCAGCCACACUGGGACUGAGACACGGCCCAGACUCCUACGGGAGGCAGCAGUGGGGAAUUUUGGACAAUGGGGGCAACCCUGAUCCAGCCAUGCCGCGUGAGUGAAGAAGGCCUUCGGGUUGUAAAGCUCUUUCAGCGGGGACAAAACGGCAUCCGGAAUAACGGGUGUUAAUGAUGGUACCCGAAGAAGAAGCACCGGCUAACUACGUGCCAGCAGCCGCGGUAAUACGUAGGGUGCGAGCGUUAAUCGGAAUUACUGGGCGUAAAGCGUGCGCCAGGUGGUUCCGUAAGUCAGAUGUGAAAGCCCCGGGCUCAACCUGGGAAUGGCAUUUGGGACUGCAAGGCUCGAGUGCGGCAAGGAGACUGGGAAUUUCCUGGUGUAGCAGUUGAAAUG
This 599-nucleotide ribosomal RNA is filed under the name uncultured bacterium. RNAcentral's name for it is "bacterial SSU rRNA". It matches the Rfam family "Bacterial small subunit ribosomal RNA", at positions 98 to 688 of the family's 1533-position model. The record is from RNAcentral.